GAAGGGAGUUCAGAGGACCUGCUGGA
Molecule: non-coding RNA, 26 nt
Filed under: Homo sapiens (human)
Lineage: Eukaryota; Metazoa; Chordata; Mammalia; Primates; Hominidae
Source: RNAcentral